Molecule: ribosomal RNA, 514 nt
Filed under: uncultured bacterium
Lineage: Bacteria
Description: partial 16S ribosomal RNA
Rfam family: Bacterial small subunit ribosomal RNA
Source: RNAcentral
ACUCAAAUGAAUUGACGGGGGCCCGCACAAGCGGUGGAGCAUGUGGUUUAAUUCGACGCAACGCGAAGAACCUUACCAGGGUUUGACAUGUAGGUAGUAGGAACCCGAAAGGGGGACGAUUCCGUAGUAAUACGGAAAGCUUACACAGGUGCUGCAUGGCUGUCGUCAGCUCGUGUCGUGAGAUGUUGGGUUAAGUCCCGCAACGAGCGCAACCCUUAUCCUUAGUUGCCACCAGGCCGAAAGGCGCUGAGCACUCUAGAGAAACUGCCCUGUAUAACGGGGAGGAAGGUGGGGAUGACGUCAAGUCCUCAUGGCCUUUAUACCCUGGGCUACACACGUGCUACAAUGGCUGGAACAACGAGUCGCCAACCCGCGAGGGUGAGCUAAUCUCUAAAAACCAGCCCCAGUUCAGAUUGGAGGCUGCAAUUCGCCUCCAUGAAGUCGGAAUCGCUAGUAAUCGCGGAUCAGCUACGCCGCGGUGAAUACGUUCCCGGGCCUUGUACACACCGCCCGU